RNAcentral lists this ribosomal RNA (468 nucleotides) under uncultured bacterium. Its description in RNAcentral is "partial 16S ribosomal RNA". It matches the Rfam family "Bacterial small subunit ribosomal RNA", at positions 28 to 507 of the family's 1533-position model. The record is from RNAcentral.
GACGAACGCUGGCGGCGUGCUUAACACAUGCAAGUCGAACGGAAAGGCCCUGCUUUUGUGGGGUGCUCGAGUGGCGAACGGGUGAGUAACACGUGAGUAACCUGCCCUUGACUUUGGUAUAACUUCAGGAAACUGGGGCUAAUACCGUAUAGGAGCUCCUGCUGCAUGGUGGGGGUUGGAAAGUUUCGGCGGUUGGGGUUGGACUCGCGGCUUAUCAGCUUGUUGGUGGGGUAGUGGCUGACCAAGGCUUUGAAGGGUAGCCGGCAUGAGAGGGUGACCGGCGACAAGGGGACUGAGGUACGGCCCAGACUCCUACGGGAGGCAGCAGUGGGGAAUAUUGCACAAUGGGCGGAAGCCGGAUGAAGCAACGCCGCGUGCGGGAUGACGGCCUUCGGGUUGUAAACCGCUUUCGCCUGUGACGAAGCGGGAGUGACGGUAAUGGGUAAAGAAGCACCGGCUAACUACGUG